CCUACGGGGGGCAGCAGUGAGGAAUAUUGGUCAAUGGUCGGGAGACUGAACCAGCCAAGCCGCGUGAGGGAUGAAGGUACAGAGUAUCGUAAACCUCUUUUGUCAGGGAACAAAGGCGGGGACGUGUCCCCGGAUGAGUGUACCUGAAGAAAAAGCAUCGGCUAACUCCGUGCCAGCAGCCGCGGUAAUACGGAGGAUGCGAGCGUUAUCCGGAUUUAUUGGGUUUAAAGGGUGCGCAGUCGGUCUGUUAAGUCAGCGGUAAAAGCCCGGGGCUCAACCCCGCACCGCCGUUGAAACUGGCAGUCUCGAGUUGGAGAGAAGUAUGCGGAAUGCGCGGUGUAGCGGUGAAAUGCAUAGAUAUCGCGAAGAACUCCGAUUGCGAAGGCAGCAUGCCGGCUUCACACUGACGCUGAGGCACGAAAGCGUGGGUAUCGAACAGGAUUAGAUACCCUGGUAGUC
RNAcentral lists this ribosomal RNA (459 nucleotides) under uncultured bacterium. Its description in RNAcentral is "partial 16S ribosomal RNA". It matches the Rfam family "Bacterial small subunit ribosomal RNA", at positions 338 to 795 of the family's 1533-position model. The record is from RNAcentral.